AAAAAAGGUAUUACCAAAUUCAAGUGAGACUAGGAACCUCACUCGUGACAAACAACAUCGGAGAAUUGGAAGCCAAUUGAAGUAACAAAAAGAACCAAGAAUCCCAUCGUGUAUGACAUAUAUUUGUACGGGGUAUUCUUCACUAUCUAUAUCAGUAAUAGACGCUAAAGUAUUAUCUCAACGCCUCUAAUACUCGAUUACUACCAAUCUUCUCAAUUUCCCAAGAUUCAAUUCAUACCUCUACAAUUAUCAAAAAAUCCCUUUUUCCAUCAUCGCCCGGACAUCCAACCCAAAGCUACCAAGGCUCUGAUACCACCUGUAGCGCCCCGCCCCGAGUAGCAGGCACCUCGUGGCGGAACACCACUCAACAUGCAGUACAUUCAAUGACCCCAAAUAUGCUCCUCCAAAUUUGCGAUUAUCAAAAUAUUAAACCCCAAUAUCUAUACCAUCUUGUUUACAAAAGGGGAUUCUAUUACAAGUCGACUUCGACACUAAUUACUCAAUUACAAAAUUCUCGAUCAAAGGAUUCCUAUACGGAACAUAAAUAGAGAUACCUCUCGACGAGACUAAUCGGAGGCAUACACGAGCUUUAACUCUUAGUACGAAAAUUUAGGUCUAAGUCUUUCUUUUACCUGCGCAUUAAUAUCAGAAAGGAGAAACAAAUAAGUCCGAAUGACUUAGUGAAAAACAUAUGAUCCAUGAGUAUGAUGAGAAUCAACAGAACAGAACAUAUAACGAGAGACUUUACAAGAAUUUCAUUAACAGAAGUGUAACAUGAAGUGUAACAUGUACAAGAGUGUAACAUGUACGGCUUGAGUUCAAUAUUUGGUGGGGUCUCCAACCUUGUAACUCCCAACAAAUAAAAUCAUAUCACAUCCUUAUCCCUCCAAUCCGUCCCGAGUGGCCACUCGGACGGAAACAGGCAGGAGGCACGACCGGAACGUGCCGAUCCGGCUCAGGAACGUUUAACUCCAAACGAACGUGAGUCCGAACCAUCAGGAGGUACCAUUCGGGAGACCAGUCAUCGUCAGCCCAAUACUGCCCGAUCGUCUUGCCGAAAUGGUCCUAGGGCCCAGCUCCCCCAAGAGCGUCCUCAAGGGUGGGGACAGUAGGUUCAAGAAUCAAUAUUAUUCCUUUUAGGAAUAUCAAGUCAUUAAUUUCAAGAAUCAAGUCAAUCAUUCACAAGAUAAGUCACGAUCACGAUAAUUGAAUAUCAAGUCUCAGGAUAAUGAACAUGUUCAGAUUUCAAUUCAAGCCAAUGAAGAAUUGUCGUGAAUAUGGAAUUCAAGAACAACAAUAAGUUCCAUGUCAGGUUCCAAGAACGAGUAUAUCAAGAUCUCAAUGAAUUCAAUAAACAUGAGAUUCAAGUUCGAGCCAACAAAAUAUUUAUUCUCGGAAAGCAUUCAAGACAAGAUUUUGAGAAUAAAUAUAGUUCAAUAUCGAUUCAAGGAAAAUGUUCAGGCCAGGGAAUCAAGUAUAGGAAUUAGCCGUGAACAUAGCAACCAAGAGAAUUGACAAGUUCAAGAUUUCAAGAACAAGAUCAAGGUUCCAAGUUCGAGCCAAGGAAACGAAUAUGCUCACAGAACAUUAAAGGUCAUAUUCCAAGAAAAAAUAUAAUCAAUGCAUCAAAGGAUUCAAGAUGGAGAAUAUAUUUGGUUUAAACAAAGGAGAUAUUAAGCGCAGGAAAGAAAUCGGAUAAGGGGUCAUAGUUUCUCACCUGGAGUCCAACGCUAGUGCAAAGCUAGUGCUAUAGAAGUGCUAUAGAAGCAUCUUUAAGCUUAAACCUUGAGUGAGAGCUUUAGUACGCUCGACACCUAUAAACAUAUUCAUCACUUAACAAGAUUCCAAAUGCUAAUAUAAUCGUAUUAUUCUACUAUAUCACAUAGUCAAUUUCUUAAACAUAUACUAAGAAUUGCUUCUCACGGCAAUUUAUUCAAAUAAUCAUUGCGAUCAUCGUACUUAUCCGAAUGACCUAAAAGAUAUAUAAAGUUAAAGAUAACAUCUGUAUCUACAAUUUUACUAAAGACUUUAAUCCCAAAUUAACAACAUAACCCGUCAAUAAAAACCCCGAAAGAUGAAUACAUAAACCUGCCAGAUUUUCGGAUAAUUUCGUUUACUGUCACAGCUUAUUCGAACAAUCGUUACGAUCACCUUACUUAUCCGAAUAACCUAAACGAUAUAUCGAAUUAAAUAUAACAUCAGUGUCUACAGAUUUACUGAAGACCCUGAGCCCAAAUUACCGACCUAACACAGUAAUAACAGCCACGGAAGAUGAGUACAUGAAACUGCCAGGUUUUUUUUUGGAAAAUUCGUUGUUGGCACAGUUUGUUUGAAAAAUCAUAACAAUUAGCAUGCUAAUCCAAAUUGAUCACAUGAUACGUCAAAUGAAAGCUAACAGAAAAUUCUGCGAGUUCACAGAAGGCUUUAGUCCCAAAUUCGGAACCGAAAAUAGCAGAAACAGCCUCAAACCAGCAUUACAGAACUGCCGGGAUUUUGGAAAGAUUACUUCUGGUACAGCUUAUUGUAAAAUUCAUAACUAUUUGUAAAGUUAUCCAAAUUGUCCAAACAAUACACCAAAUUGAACCUUACAAUGUAAACUACAAGUUCUCAGAAGACACACAACCCAAAUUAUUAGCUCAACAUAGCAAAAACGGCCUCGUAAGAAGAAUAUUCAAAACUGCCCUGUUUUUACCGAUUUACCGUCACUUAAUUCGGACCUCUAAUCAGCUUCAAAACAUACUCUAACUCGAUACAAUUUUACACUUACCAAUAGUUUUCGAGGUCCUCUACGAGUUUUGUGAAGGAAUGAUUCCCAAAUUCUCACUCCAAACCCUCCAAAUUCUGCUCCGAAAACAGGUGCGGCAGCAAAUACUAUUUCCUUCAAGGUUCCGGCGAGCGGGCUGAACUUCUUGCCCAAUUCCGGAAACCACCGCCGAUUAAUACUACCGAGCUCCAACACCAAUGGAAGGCUAACAUCUCAAGGUUUCUAACCGUGUCCUGAUCGUCAAUAUUCAACCUCUAAGGCCUCCGAGCAAUUAAUUCUUCGAAGGACCAAAAGCUGAAAUCCGAUUCUAAGACAGCUUGUCUUCUUCGUCGGAUUCCGGCCACCACCGCCAAUCAUCUGAUGCGACCACCACCGGAGGCGAUCUGAUCAUAAUAGCCCCUUGAUAGAGCCUCCUUCACGCAGCCCUGAUUCUGCCAAUAAUUCGAAUUGGGGAUUUGCAAUUCCAACCUCAAAUUUGUUUCAUAUACCUCACUUCUUCAAACCUCUUCUUCAAUUCGAUUUCCACAAUUAAUUUCUGUGAUUCCAGCCAAGAAACGAGAGAGAGGAAGAGCCGAUGAUGAGAGAGAGAGAAAGAGAAAGCGAUGAGAGAGUGAGAAACUCUGAUUGAGCUUAUAAAGAAACGAAGAGAGGAGAAAUUGAUCGGAUAGGAAGAAGGAGGAUGACUCGUACGACACGCGUCUCUCUCCUAGUUUCCAUGGUUAAUAACACUUCAUUAUCCGAUUAAACAAGCUCGUUAAUUGCUUAAUGGCCAAGUUUGCUGAUUUAGAGAAUUAUUAUUAUGCUUAUGUCCCAAAAUUAUUACAUAAUAACACAUCAGCCCCCAAUUCUCAUUAUAAAGUACAAUAAACUCUCGCAUAAAUUACGGGGUGUUACAAUCUCCCCUCCUUAAAGGAAUCUGGUCCCCAGAUUCUCAACUAAUACUCGGACACGGGAAUAGUCUUCGAUAAUCAUCUUCUUGCUAACUUGUGGCUUCUUCAACUUGGUAGUUUCUCCGAAAUUCCUUUUAUGUCUUUUUG
Molecule: long non-coding RNA, 3801 nt
Filed under: Erythranthe guttata (spotted monkey flower)
Lineage: Eukaryota; Viridiplantae; Streptophyta; Magnoliopsida; Lamiales; Phrymaceae
Description: long non-coding RNA (EGUT_LNC003146)
Source: RNAcentral